UACGUUCCGGCCUUGUACACACCGCCCGUCACACCACGAAAGUCGGCAAUACCCGAAGCCGGUGGCCUAACCCUUUUUGGGUAGGGGAGCCGUCGAAGGUAGGGUCGAUGAUUGGGGUG
RNAcentral lists this ribosomal RNA (119 nucleotides) under uncultured bacterium. Its description in RNAcentral is "partial 16S ribosomal RNA". It matches the Rfam family "Bacterial small subunit ribosomal RNA", at positions 1367 to 1482 of the family's 1533-position model. The record is from RNAcentral.